UAACAACUUUAAUUUGGACGCGGUCUUGUUUAAACAGCUUUUUGUCUCGACGAGAGAAUUUCGAUAUUUUCUUAGGAAUAAUUGAAGAAAAAGAAAAUGGCAGCAUUAACAACAUGACAUCUGCUUAAAAUGCCUGUCAUUGAAUAAGAUGUCCGUCAGCAGAAUGUUGAAUCAGGACGACGACCUUGUUUCGCAAGCUAAGGAGCAGGAAGCGAAAAAGUCAAGAUGAGCUGUGGGUCAAAAUUCCGUUCCCUCUCACCCACCACUCCCUUAAUAAAUGUCUUUUUGUUUAUUAUUUUUUCUACGUCAAUGAAAAAAACUUAUCUAAUCAUAGCUAGCUCUUUUAGGGUUACUAGAAAAGUCUGGAGAUAAAUAUCAAGCAGUUUCAGUUUUCUUAAUGUGACUAUAAUUACGUUAGAGUUUUUUUUUCACAAUAUUGAUAUAAAUAUUUCAUGUAGAUAUAAUAAAAAUUAUAGAACUAUA
Molecule: non-coding RNA, 483 nt
Organism: Parasteatoda tepidariorum (common house spider)
Lineage: Eukaryota; Metazoa; Arthropoda; Arachnida; Araneae; Theridiidae
Source: RefSeq, a predicted model, not a curated record